GAUGAACGCUGGCGGCGUGCCUCAAACAUGCAAGUCGAGCGGGGCUAUGUAAUAUCGCAAGGUAGAACAUAGCCUAGCGGCGAACGGGUGAGUAACACGUGGGUAACCUGCCUGGAAGACAGGGAUAACGAUUCGAAAGGGUCGCUAAUACCUGAUAAUAUCCUUUCAUCGCAUGGUGAUAGGAAGAAAGGGGAAACCCGCUUUCAGAUGGGCCCGCGUCCCAUCAGCUAGUUGGUAAGGUAAAGGCUUACCAAGGCGACGACGGGUAGCCGGUCUGAGAGGAUGUACGGCCACACUGGGACUGAGAUACGGCCCAGACUCCUACGGGAGGCAGCAGUUGGGAAUCUUAGGCAAUGGACGAAAGUCUGACCUAGCGACGCCGCGUGAGGGAAGAAGGCCUUCGGGUUGUAACUCUGUCAUGGGGAAGGAAGUAAGUGACGGUACCCAACGAGGAAGCCCCUGCUAACUACGUGCUAGCAGCCGCGGUAAAGAAGUAGUACA
Molecule: ribosomal RNA, 501 nt
Filed under: uncultured bacterium
Lineage: Bacteria
Description: bacterial SSU rRNA
Rfam family: Bacterial small subunit ribosomal RNA
Source: RNAcentral